Molecule: ribosomal RNA, 155 nt
Filed under: Ionaspis sp.
Lineage: Eukaryota; Fungi; Ascomycota; Lecanoromycetes; Hymeneliales; Hymeneliaceae
Description: 5.8S ribosomal RNA
Rfam family: 5.8S ribosomal RNA
About the family: 5.8S ribosomal RNA (5.8S rRNA) is a component of the large subunit of the eukaryotic ribosome. It is transcribed by RNA polymerase I as part of the 45S precursor that also contains 18S and 28S rRNA.
Source: RNAcentral
CUUUCAACAACGGAUCUCUUGGCUCUGGCAUCGAUGAAGAACGCAGCGAAAUGCGAUAAGUAAUGUGAAUUGCAGAAUUCAGUGAAUCAUCGAAUCUUUGAACGCACAUUGCGCCCCUUGGUAUUCCGGGGGGCAUGCCUGUCCGAGCGUCAUUG